AACGCGAAGAACCUUACCAAGGUUUGACAUGGACGGAAAUCCUCCAGAGAUGGGGGGUCCUUCGGGGCCGUUCACAGGUGGUGCAUGGCUGUCGUCAGCUCGUGUCGUGAGAUGUUGGGUUAAGUCCCGCAACGAGCGCAACCCUCGUCCAAUGUUGCCAGCGGGUAAUGCCGGGGACUCAUUGGAGACUGCCGGGGUCAACUCGGAGGAAGGUGGGGAUGACGUCAAGUCAUCAUGCCCCUUAUGUCUUGGGCUGCAAACAUGCUACAAUGGCCGGUACAAAGCGCUGCGACACCGUGAGGUGAAGCGAAUCGCAUAAAGCCGGUCUCAGUUCGGAUCGGGGUCUGCAACUCGGCCCCGUGAAGCCGGAGUCGCUAGUAAUCGCGGAUCAGCAACGCCGCGGUGAAUACGUUCCCGGGCCUUGUACACACCGGAGUA
Molecule: ribosomal RNA, 438 nt
Filed under: uncultured bacterium
Lineage: Bacteria
Description: bacterial SSU rRNA
Rfam family: Bacterial small subunit ribosomal RNA
Source: RNAcentral